AUUGAACGCUGGCGGCAGGCCUAACACAUGCAAGUCGAACGGUAACAGGAAGAAGCUUGCUUCUUUGCUGACGAGUGGCGGACGGGUGAGUAAUGUCUGGGAAACUGCCUGAUGGAGGGGGAUAACUACUGGAAACGGUAGCUAAUACCGCAUAACGUCGCAAGACCGAAGAGGGGGACCUUCGGGCCUCUUGCCAUCGGAUGUGCCCAGAUGGGAUUAGCUAGUAGGUGGGGUAACGGCUCACCUAGGCGACGAUCCCUAGCUGGUCUGAGAGGAUGACCAGCCACACUGGAACUGAGACACGGUCCAGACUCCUACGGGAGGCAGCAGUGGGGAAUAUUGCACAAUGGGCGCAAGCCUGAUGCAGCCAUGCCGCGUGUAUGAAGAAGGCCUUCGGGUUGUAAAGUACUUUCAGCGGGGAGGAAGGGAGUAAAGUUAAUACCUUGGCUCAUUGACGUUACCCGCAGAAGAAGCACCGGCUAACUCCGUG
This 490-nucleotide ribosomal RNA is filed under the name uncultured bacterium. Its description in RNAcentral is "partial 16S ribosomal RNA". It matches the Rfam family "Bacterial small subunit ribosomal RNA", at positions 30 to 507 of the family's 1533-position model. The record is from RNAcentral.